UUGAGUUUAGUUGAGUUGAGAUGAGUAGACAUCUAUCUAACUUAUUUAUUACUACCACACAGUCCUAAUGGAACCCUAAAAGCAGCAUUCAUCUAAGCAAUUACUACCACACAGUCCUAACUCUAACAAGCAUUUAAUUAACCUAACAACUAGCCAGACCAAAGCAAUUAGUAAAAAGUUAGCGAAUGAGGAGCUGUACUAACCUCACCGACAGUCUUGUGUAGUGGUUGCUUCUUGAAGUUACAGGAGGAGGAGCUUCAGUCGAGAGGUCAAAGCCUCUUAGGCAACAGGAGUCCAUAGAAUGACAAAAGUCCCUGCCAUAAUUAACAACACAAACUGUAAUCAACACAAACUAUAAUUAAUCUUUCAAUCAACACAAACUGUAAUGAAUCUUACAAGUUAUAUUACAACAGAUACUACAUUUCGAGGAGUGAUGUUUUAACGAAUGCUAUUAAGCAAUCAACAGAAACCGUAAUUAAUCUUUCAACAACAUCCUAGUUCAUACGCAUUCACAGAUCAAAACAGAACAAGCAUGUUGAAGAUUAAUGUCAGUGUAUCCUCAUGACUUUUUAACUAAACAAUC
RNAcentral lists this long non-coding RNA (583 nucleotides) under Brassica napus (rape). Its description in RNAcentral is "long non-coding RNA (BNAP_LNC004856)". Lineage: Eukaryota; Viridiplantae; Streptophyta; Magnoliopsida; Brassicales; Brassicaceae. The record is from RNAcentral.